GAUUUCUGGUUUGAUGCGUUUGGCCCUCUCGGAGCAAUCCGGCGUGCGUGCCGAUGCGCGUCUGCCAUCCCUUGUAGAGAACGUUUCUACCCUUCACUGGGCCGGAUUCGCAAUCUACAUCUUUUACUUUGAAAAAAUUAGAGUGUUUAAAGCAGGCUUGCGCUAUGAAUACAUUAGCAUGGAAUAAUAAUUUAGGACUUUAUUCCUAUUUAUUGGUUUCUGGAGUAGAGUAAUGAUUGAUAGGGAUAGUUGGGGGUGCUAGUAUUCAUCGGCCAGAGGUGAAAUUCUUGGAUUCGAUGAAGACUAACUAAUGCGAAAGCAUU
Molecule: ribosomal RNA, 323 nt
Filed under: uncultured Thaumatomonas
Lineage: Eukaryota; Cercozoa; Imbricatea; Thaumatomonadida; Thaumatomastigidae
Description: SSU rRNA
Rfam family: Eukaryotic small subunit ribosomal RNA (bases 84-323)
Source: RNAcentral